This 427-nucleotide ribosomal RNA is filed under the name Eutropis rudis (rough mabuya). Its description in RNAcentral is "partial 16S rRNA". It matches the Rfam family "Bacterial large subunit ribosomal RNA", at positions 1970 to 2594 of the family's 2925-position model. Lineage: Eukaryota; Metazoa; Chordata; Lepidosauria; Squamata; Scincidae. The record is from RNAcentral.
UGUCUUCUAAAUAAAGACCAGUAUGAACGGCUAAAUGAGGACAAACCUGUCUCUUAUAACUAAUCAGUGAAACUGAUCUACCAGUACAAAAGCUGGUAUAAACACAUAAGACGAGAAGACCCUGUGGAGCUUAAGACAACCUACUAACAAACACCCUGUGCUACUAGUAUUCUGUCUUGAGUUGGGGCGACUUCGGAACAAAACAAAACUUCCGAGCAGAGAUCCACCACCUCUUACCGAGGCCCACAAGCCAAAGUUAAAACUGACCCGGCUCCCGCCGAUCAACGAACCAAGUUACCCCAGGGAUAACAGCGCUAUCUUCUUCAAGAGUCCCUAUCGACAAGAAGGUUUACGACCUCGAUGUUGGAUCAGGACACCCCAGUGGUGCAGCCGCUACUAAAGGUUCGUUUGUUCAACGAUUAACAGU